Long non-coding RNA from Orbicella faveolata, 1917 nucleotides. RefSeq lists it as uncharacterized. NCBI's taxonomy places the organism in Eukaryota, Metazoa, Cnidaria, Anthozoa, Scleractinia, Merulinidae. The record is from RefSeq and is a predicted model, not a curated record.
CCCUGAUGCUGUGUUUGUGUUUAUUAAGAUUAGUUACAAAAUAUUUUAUAAUCGUUUCAGGGUGAUUAGAGUAUAAAAGACUGUCCUCGGGAAAGGGGCCUGUUUUGUUGAGUUCCCCGAUUCUCUGCAGAAAAUGCGUGGUAUCCUUGACAAACGAUGGCAAAUUCCAUAUCAACUGAGUGUCUCCAAUAUAAAUGUAACUAAUACUUUUGUAUUUAGUUUAUGUACUUCAGGAGUCCAUUCUAUAGUACACAGUUUCUAGCUGCCAGAGUUUCAGGAACUGAUGUAGGACUGAACGUAGAGAUGAGAUGACAUUUUCUGUUGGCAGGACUAAGUAACCGUACAGUAUAUGGGAACCUGAUCCAUAAUACUACUCUUACAUACAUGGAGCUAUUAGGAUAUCGUUACAAUAAUAUCAUUUUCUUUGGUUGGCUGCUUAGCAGUCCACCAAAAGCAACAUGCCUUCAAUAUCUCCCAGGAGGUAGUGAACAGUUGGAUAUUAUGAAGUAUGAUUCAUUGAAUUCUAAGGAAGACAACGACCAUUUUUCCUUUAGUACUUUGAAACAGUUACCACAUAUUACAAACUGAAGACGAGGAAGGUUCAAUUGGAAAUUGACCCCCUUAAAGAUCAGGAGAGUGAAGUGGAAACUCCAGUUGUGGACAAUUACAAACUAUAUUUCCAGGGAAGCACCUCACAAACAGAAUUUUUGUAAUUUUUUCUUAACAAUAUUCAUUAUAAAUCAAGGCCUGCCAUGAGACCUUUGUGAAAUUAAUAAUAAAAUUGAUGGAACUGUUGCAUAUUAGACUCCAUGUGCUAGGGUUCACUUGUUAUCAACUCCCAAAAUUCCCCAACAAAACAUUUUCACUAAAAACAAAUAAAUCUGGCAAAAAUCAAAGCCUCACAAAAGUUCAAGAUGACUACACAUCAAAUCCACAAAAACCAUAUUACCUCAACUACUAAUACAACCAAGUACUCUCCCUGUAGGAGGGGAAGAAUUCAAGUCUUGAAGAUACCUUGACGAUAAUUAAUGUGCUUCAGUUCUAUGGUCAUUUGUUCAGGAAAAUUUCCAACAUGACUGAAAUAAUAGACAAUUAGUUCAACGAAAUAAUGAUUGAGUAUGUUACUGUUAUUUUAGAUUUUUAUCUUGUCAUUUGCAUGAACAGAAUUCUGUUUUUUGGUUAUUACAACCCUGAGAAUACUCAGUUAAACUUUGCAUAAAGCAAAUAACAUUAUGUUUAUCUUGUUUACAACAUUAUGUUUGUGUUAUUUACUCAACAUUAACCCACAUUCCAAUGCAAAAAGUAAACAUGACUCAAUACGUCAUGAAUACUUAGUAAACAAAGUUCAUUGUACCUCUAAUAACUUGUUGAAAGGCUCCAGCUAAGAACAUCCUAAGGCCAUAGUUACCAAAGGGGGGAGGGGAGGGGGAGAAGUGGACUGAGAACCAAUCACAUUCAAGCACUUUGCUAGCAUACAAUUAUGAGGAUAUGAUAUAUUGACCACAUGAACUAUAAUCUAGCAACAAUUUGCAGAAAUCUCUCCUGGUGCAAAAAGUAACUUGGAUGUUCCUGCUUUUACACCUUCCAACUGAAAAUGUUUGGCAAAGUAAAGUUAUGUAAACACAUUAUUUAUAAGGUGAUCUCUCACCAAUACUCCAGCAUUAUUAUGAAGGUGAGCUGGUACCUCAAUCACCAAGUCUGGUUCACGAGGAGGUUGCUCUAUAUAAUCAGAAAGUGGUGUUUUGUAAAAUAUAUACACAUAUUGUGCAGCACAGAUGCCCCACCAGAUAUAUCGAGGCAUCAGAAUCUGGACUUCCAUAGGCUAAAGGCCCUCUCGAUGGUUUUUCUUAGUUUUUGUAUGAGCCUUUUGAUAUCUCCUUUGAGGUCCAGUGGAAACAUCAUCAGGCCUGAAAGGGG